RNAcentral lists this ribosomal RNA (548 nucleotides) under uncultured Glomus. RNAcentral describes it as "SSU rRNA". It matches the Rfam family "Eukaryotic small subunit ribosomal RNA", at positions 548 to 1098 of the family's 1831-position model. Lineage: Eukaryota; Fungi; Glomeromycota; Glomeromycetes; Glomerales; Glomeraceae. The record is from RNAcentral.
UUGGAGGGCAAGUCUGGUGCCAGCAGCCGCGGUAAUUCCAGCUCCAAUAGCGUAUAUUAAAGUUGCUGCAGUUAAAAAGCUCGUAGUUGAAUUUCGGGACCAUCAUGUUGGUCGUGCCUCGGCACGUACUGGCAUUGUUGGUUUCUCCCUUCUGACGAACCAUGAUGUCAUUUAUUUGGUGUUGUGGGGAAUCAGGACUGUUACUUUGAAAAAAUUAGAGUGUUUAAAGCAGGCUCACGCUUGGAUACAUUAGCAUGGAAUAAUGAAAUAGGACGUUUGAUUCUAUUUUGUUGGUUUCUAGGAUCGACGUAAUGAUUAAUAGGGACAGUUGGGGGCAUUAGUAUUCAAUUGUCAGAGGUGAAAUUCUUGGAUUUAUUGAAGACUAACUACUGCGAAAGCAUUUGCCAAGGAUGUUUUCAUUAAUCAAGAACGAAAGUUAGGGGAUCGAAGACGAUCAGAUACCGUCGAAGUCUUAACCAUAAACUAUGCCGACUAGGGAUCGGAUGAUGUUAAUUUUUUAAUGACUCAUUCGGCGCCUUACGGGAAAC